RNAcentral lists this long non-coding RNA (396 nucleotides) under Mus spicilegus (steppe mouse). RNAcentral describes it as "lncRNA (ENSMSIG00000025278.1)". Lineage: Eukaryota; Metazoa; Chordata; Mammalia; Rodentia; Muridae. The record is from RNAcentral.
UGUUGCCACGGAGAUGACCUCUGACCCCGAAAGCAUGAGUGGCCCCUUUGCGGGUUGCCUUGGUUGCUAUGGCAACUGCAGUAUCCAGGAUCUUGGCGCUGGAGCAACUUGGGAGCAAGGGCUAGGGAACAGCUACUCUGCCCUCUUCUUUCUAGGAUGGGAACAUGGUUGUUCUGUGGAGCCCAGACUGCCCUAUCGAAGAUCCAAGGAAAUAAGUAACAAGUCAAAAACUUUGACAGAUUUGUAUGGAAAACACAAGGCAGAAAAUAUGGUUAUCACAUAAUUUUUCCUUACAAAAAGUUUAAUGACAUUGUAUUUCUCAGUAUAGUUGGAAAAACAUUGGAUUAGAAUGAUCAAAAUAGGCACUCAAGAAAUGUAACUCUACAACGUCAUAAG